RNAcentral lists this non-coding RNA (82 nucleotides) under Marinobacter sp. Its description in RNAcentral is "c-di-GMP sequence". It matches the Rfam family "c-di-GMP-I riboswitch aptamer". Rfam says of the family: GEMM was predicted in a large-scale screen for bacterial structured RNA regulatory elements. Genes associated with GEMM are involved in a diverse array of functions, including chemotaxis regulation, signal transduction, secretion and chitin. The record is from RNAcentral. Lineage: Bacteria; Pseudomonadati; Pseudomonadota; Gammaproteobacteria; Pseudomonadales; Marinobacteraceae.
CCCGACCGGUGCCAAACCAUUCGUGAGGAUGGGACGGAAAGCCAAGGAUCUCUCAAGCAAAGGAGACCGCCUGGUUGCAAAG